Long non-coding RNA from Carassius auratus (goldfish), 4220 nucleotides. RefSeq lists it as uncharacterized. The transcript is spliced from 3 exons. The record is from RefSeq and is a predicted model, not a curated record. NCBI's taxonomy places the organism in Eukaryota, Metazoa, Chordata, Actinopteri, Cypriniformes, Cyprinidae.
GAAGGGAACUAAAAUAUCGUAUUGGUACAUUAUAACAUUAGGCCUGCCAUUAUAAUUUCUGAAUGAAAUAAAAUGCAACUUAUACGUGACAUAUUUCUUUCCUCUCACAAACAUAAUUUAUUUUUAGUGUGUUUUAAAAAAAACAUGCAGCAAAUGAAAAUAGGCGAAUAAUUGGUUAAAAGUUUUGUUACUGUGGGUUAAAAAAUUUACAAUAUAUACUUAGGAACAGAUUCUGGGCCUAAUCUAGGCUAUGUUGUUAACUAUUUACAAGUUUUGUGUAUGUUUUUAUCCAGUUUUUUUUCUUCAUUGCAUCUGAAAAUGGCAUCACAUUCACUUUGUGAGCCUGCCUUCUGUGCUGCUCAGCUGUGGUUAAUUUAAAAAUAACUGUGUUAAUUAAAUUAAAUUAAUUAAAAGAAAAAAUCAAAUUAUAUUGUUAGUUUUAUGCUAACAUGCAAUCAAGAUCUUCGGAUACUAUAAAAGAUACAAGUUCAUUAGACUAUUUAACAUGAACUGUGACAUUUUACCUAACCCUAACUUAUAAACUCCUUAGGAUUUUAAAGUCCACUUAAUAUUCAAUUGGAUUCAAUUUGAAUCAAGUAUAAAAAGGUUUUAAUUGCUUAAAUUAUUUCUAUGAAUUAAUUUAUCACAACCUUUUCAUCAUAUAAUUUUUCACGAGCUGUAUUCAUUUCCGAAACCAAGCACCCAGUUUUUUCUUUUUUUUUAAUCUAUUAUUCGCUUGCAUAUCUCCUACAACUGAGGAAUUUUUCUUUUUCUUUUUUUUUCUUUUGAAAAAGUAACAUGAAAGCACACCGUUCCUCACGGCCAAAAAACAGACCGAAUUCACUUUAGUUUGAGGGUUGGGGUUUGGGGUAGUUCUUUAUACCUUGUGGGUGUUGAAAUAAAGGUUUGAAUUUCUUGCUUUCAUAUGGAUAGUGUCCUAUGGGGGUUUCGAUAGGACAAAUGCCUCGUCAUUUUGGUUUUAGGAGAACUUUGAAGAAAAGUUUUGAUCCACUUUAAAUGUUGACUACUAGCACAAUAUUUGUUUAUUACUUAUAACUAUUAUUAAGUUAUAACUAAAUUUCAGAGGAAGUUGCCUUAAAUGCAAACUGUUAUUAACUGUAUUAACUGUUAAACUGUUUAUUUUGUUGCAUCCAUACAAUAUUUUUUAGAGUUUGAAAUAUAAGUUCUAACAGAAUGUAGCCUAUUCAUUAACAAUAUAUUGAACCAUCUCUUUGUUUUUCUAAAUUCCAAACCAGACAUCAGUAAAUAAAAUGUAUUUUGUAGACUUUCUGUGAUUUACGAUGCUCAAACCAAAAGCAACAGUAUCUGCAGUGAAGGGUUGGCCAUUCGCAAAACAGAAAUAUAAAUUUUAUUUCAGUUUCCGUUUUUGUGUUUCAGAGAAAAAUUCAGUCUUAAGGCAUCGAACCAUUAAAGAUGUUUUGAAAGCAGAAUUCAUGCAAAUCUGUAUAGACUGCUUUAAAAACUUGAUCAGAGAUGACUUGAGGGUAUUUAAACCCUAUUCACGUUCGGUUAUGACAGACAGCUCAGUGAAGCUCUCUCCAAGAUCAACACGGUAUCAGGUUGCUUCAAGUGCAUCAUUCUGCACACUGGAUGUGCACAUUGUAAACGCUUCGUGCUGCACUGUAUUUGUUUUGUCCUAUCAUAUCUAUCAUAUAUUGUUGCCUAAAAAAUAUGCUAUACAUUUAAAAUACAUUUAAUUUUAUAGUAAAUACUUAUAUAUAAAUACAUUCAUGAAUUUUUUAAUGAAUGGAUUUUACAAUAAUACAAAUAGCAAUGUGGAACAUUUUACCAUAUUUACUGCGAAACUUUUAUUUGUUCCCCACAAAAUAGUUUUUUCACUAAAUGUUUAGAUUUCUAAAAUUGAGCACUGAUUUUUCUAUAAUAAUUUUUGCUGCUGAAUUAUCCACUAACCUAGUUUAUGAUCGUUUUUUGUCAUAGAUUAUGAAUUUGCAUAGGCCUAUAUUUUUCCAUAUUAAUUUUUUCUUUUGUUUUUCUUUAUUAUGUAGUAGUCUAGUAGAUUGUGUUGAAUGAUCAUCAAUUCCACACACAGCUAUAUAAAUUCUGCAUUUAUUUAAACAGGUAAAAAAACUUCACUGGUAUUGGAUAGGUAUCUGUAUAGGCCAAUACUGAACCCAAUUGGUAUUGGAAUCGGCAUCGGAGGCAAAAAAGGCAGAUCGGAGCAUCCCUACAAUUAACCCUGUUCAUUGAAACAAACUGCCUUAAAGAACCAGUUUACCUGAAAGACUAUUAUUUCUCUGUUGCCUAAGGCUAUGGUUUACAGGUAAUAAUGUUGUAAAUAAGUUCAGUUUCUUGCACAAACCAAUCGUUUUGCUUCAUAAGACGUCAGGAGCCUUAGGUAUUAAUUUUGUGUUCCUUGAUAUACUUUUUAAUUAUUCUAUAAAAGGGGCAGCCACUGUUUUGCAUUUUAUGAAUCACCAUGGUUUAAGCUAAAAAUCAUCUUUACUGUUCUACUCAAGAAAAAAAGUCACCUACGCCUUGAAUGGUUUGAGGGUGAGUAAAUUAACGGUAAAUAAAACUUUUUAGGUGAACUCUCCCUUUAACAUGCUCUAAUGCAAUACCAUUUGUAUGCCAAAAAAAGUGCUCAAAAAAUUGAUACACCACUAAUGUGAUUGUCUUGAGGUUCUGAGCUGGAGACUGACGCCAGAUAACUACCCUCAGAGUGACCAGCUUCCCCCUCCUUCUUACCUCUAUGGCGCUCAGCACCUGCUUCGGCUAUUUGUUAAACUUCCAGAAAUCUUGAGGAAGAUGCACAUACCAGAAAAGAACCUGAGUGCACUAGUGAAACACUUCGAGCUUUUUCUCAGGUUUUUGGCAGAGUUUCAUGAGGACUUCUUUCCAGAGUCUGCAUAUGUGUCUGCAAUGGAAGCACAUUACAGCAUGAAGCAACCACGCUCAGUCUUCUAAGAAUCCUUUAUAGAGAGAGUUUAUUUUGUGCUGUGUUCUUCUGAAUUUCUGGUCCACCCCUGACACUGAAUGUUCUUCUACUUGCAAAUUCUAUAAAUUUCCUUUAAUUGUUUCACCUGUCCAUUUGUAACUGUUCAUUUGCAGUGCAUAACAAAACUUUCAUGACAAUCUUUUUUUUUAUUUUUUAUGGUUUUACUAUUUUAAAGCAUUUUGAAUACAGUUGUGCAAAAUGAUAAUUUUCUUGUUUUCUAAUUUUUCUGUGGUAUAUUCUGUAUAGUAUAUACCAUUACCUCAAACAAGUAUUUGUGUUUUUUUUUUCUAUCCAAAAUGGAAUGACUGACUACAUUUGCCUUGGUCAUACUUAUUUUGCUUGUCCUUUCCAUUUCCUUCCUCUGUAUGUACUUAAACAAGCAAUUGUGCAAAAGCCAGAUGUUUGUUGCACAUUUGUACAUUUUUGCCACCCAGAAUUGUAGUAACAUUGUUAAUAAUGCAUUUUUUUAUUAUUAUGAGCUCCACUGAUAAUUGCUUUGUCAUGCAUUUACUCAUAAAAAGAUAUUUGCUUUAUUGUACAUUACUGUAUAUAAAGUUAUCUGUGGUAAAAUAUUUCAUCUCUUUUCUUUGUGUGAAAAUAGGACAAGUCUAGAUUUUAAAAAUAUUUUAUCCCAUUAAUUAUAAUGAUUAAGUUGAUUAUUUACAUGUUCCUUUUUCUGUAUAUUCUAUGGUGUAUUGUAUAUGUCUAUCAAAGCCACUGUCAAUUAUUAUGGUGGUGCUUAAUUAUUCAAUAUAUUAUUCAAACAUUUGUUUACAGUGUUUAAAUGAGAGAUUGGUAUCAGGAAAAUUUGUGUUUUAUUGGCAUUGAUUUCAAAAGUUAAACAAUUAUUUAAUUAUAGAAUGUGUAAACAUUAAGAUGUCGCUUUUAUUACUGAAUUUGUAUUAAACAAAUCUAGAUUGACAUGUCCAUAGGUUUGUCAACACCUGUGAUGACAAGAAAGGCUGUGCCCCCAUUACUUAUUUAAAAUUUUGUGUCUCAUUGGAGAUGCUCUAAGCUUUCUGCAGAGCAGCUGCCAAGCAAAACUAUGGAAUGCCAAAGCUUCCACAAAAAUGUAUAAAUAUACAAGGAAAUAUAAAAAGAAUAAUAAAUGCAUAAAUCCACAGAGAAAUGCAAAUAAAUAAUUAUUUUUAUUUAUGUUUUCUUAUUUAUGUACAUCCCCAAUUCCAGAAAAGUUGGGACAUUUUGUAAAAUGCAAUAAAGUCAAGAAUCUGUGACUGGUUAA